UACGGGGGGGGCAAGCGUUGUUCGGAAUUACUGGGCGUAAAGGGCGCGUAGGCGGUUUGCUAAGUUGGAUGUGAAAACUCUGGGCUUAACCCAGAGCCUGCAUCCAAAACUGGCAAACUUGAGUACUGGAGGGGAAAGCGGAAUUCCUGGUGUAGCGGUGAAAUGCGUAGAUAUCGGGAGGAACACCAGAGGCGAAGGCGGCCACCUGGACAGACACUGACGCUGAGACGCGAAAGCGUGGGGAGCAAACAGG
Molecule: ribosomal RNA, 253 nt
Filed under: uncultured bacterium
Lineage: Bacteria
Description: partial 16S ribosomal RNA
Rfam family: Bacterial small subunit ribosomal RNA
Source: RNAcentral